Molecule: ribosomal RNA, 399 nt
Filed under: Triticum aestivum (bread wheat)
Lineage: Eukaryota; Viridiplantae; Streptophyta; Magnoliopsida; Poales; Poaceae
Description: partial small subunit ribosomal RNA
Source: RNAcentral
AUGAUCGAGACUAUGAUUCCCCCACAAGUCAGGAUGAGAUUCCGAACAAAAAAUAAAAAAGGAGGCCAUGAAAAAAGAAGGCCCAAACAAAAAAAUGAGAGAAAAAGAGAGAAGGGGCAAUGUUACUAUCCUUUUUCCACACUUGUGCUUCAAAGUAGCACAAUGAUCUUCAUGAUAGAGAGUCUCUUAUGUUGUCACUUUCAUACACUAGUGGGAAUUUAUCAUUAUAGAACUUGGCUUGUAUAUUCCAAUGAUGGGCUUCCUCAAAUUGCCCUAGGUCUUCGUGAGCAAGCAAGUUGGAUGCACACCCACUUAGUUAAUUUUGUUGAGCGUUCAUACACUUAUAGCUCCAGUGCAUCAGUUGCAUGGCAAUCCCUACUCACUCACAUUGAUAUGUAG